GAUGAAGAACGCAGCGAAAUGCGAUAAGUAGUGUGAAUUGCAGAAUUCAGUGAAUCAUCGAAUCUUUGAACACACAUUGCGCCCCUUGGUAUUCCAUGGGGCAUGCCUGUUCGAGCGUCAUUUGUACCUUCAAGCUUUGCUUGGUGUUGGGUGUUUGUCUCGCCUUUGCGUGUAGACUCGCCUUAAAAUAAUUGGCAGCCGGCGUAUUGAUUUCGGAGCGCAGUACAUCUCGCGCUUUGCACUCAUAACGACAGCGUCCAAAAGUACAUUUUACACUCUUGACCUCGGAUCAGGUAGGGAUACCCGCUGAACUUAAGCAUAUCAAUAAGCGGAGGA
Molecule: unclassified non-coding RNA, 336 nt
Filed under: soil metagenome
Description: partial contains 5.8S ribosomal RNA, internal transcribed spacer 2, and large subunit ribosomal RNA
Rfam family: 5.8S ribosomal RNA (bases 1-120)
Source: RNAcentral